Manihot esculenta (cassava) is the source of this 2372-nucleotide RNA transcript. It is a transcript of the gene named ethylene-responsive transcription factor RAP2-7, with no coding region annotated. The record is from RefSeq and is a predicted model, not a curated record. Lineage: Eukaryota; Viridiplantae; Streptophyta; Magnoliopsida; Malpighiales; Euphorbiaceae. The transcript is spliced from 9 exons.
UUCUCUUCACCCUCUGAAAUGUUCACUCAAACGUCCCAUCUCUUUCUCUCUUCGAUGGAAUCACCUACUCGCCGAUGGUUCCACUAAUGCCUACUCUACAACUCAUAAACGCCCGUCGAUUACUUUUCUAACUUUAAGAUUCUUCUUCUCCGGCGACCGGAAACCUUCUCCGGUGACUUCAUAGACAGGAGUACCUCAUCUCUCUCUGUAUCUCUCUCUCUCUCGCUCUUGCUCUCCGCUUUUUCUCUAUAUAGAAACACACUGAUUUCAGCUCUUUGUUUUCUUUUUUCCUGCCUGCUCUAUAUUCGUUUAUCUUCGAUGCUUUGGACUUUUGUUUUAUUUGAAAUUUCGAUCGGAUCGAUCUUCGGAUUUGGAUUAUUCUUUGUUAGCUAGAAAAAGAUACGUGCAUCGAAGCUGAAUUAUUAUUAUUAUUAUUAUUUGGCUAUUUGAGCUUAGAUAGCUUCAAAAAUUGAGCUUAAUUUUGGUUGAGGUGAGAAAAGAAAAAGAGUAACGUCUAGCGUGAAGAUAAUUCGUGAAGUGCUACUAUGUUGGAUCUUAAUCUGAAUGCUGAAUCGUCCGAGUCUAUUCAGAACUCGGACUCUGUGGCUUUGAUGGACAAGUAUCAGUACCAGUACCCGGAAGGAUCGGGGACGUCAAAUUCUUCAAUCGUCAAUGCGGAUGUCUCCAGCAACGACGACUCGUGUUCUACACGCGCCUGCACUGGUGAUGCUAGUAAUAGCAGUAAGAACAAUACUAGUAGUAUGUUCACUUUCAACUUCGAUAUUUUGAAAGUGGGUGGUGGUGGUGGUGGAGGAAAUGAGAAUGAAACCGUCGCCGCUGUGACCAAGGAGUUUUUCCCGCUGAGUAAUGGGAAGGGAGUGGCUGGAGAUUACGGAAAUUUUUUUGGGCAAGGCUCCUCUAAGAACUGGAUCGAUCUCUCCUUCGAAAGGCGGCAUGAUAUUGGUGAUGGAGAGGUACGGAAGGUGCAGCCACCGCUGCAGCAGGUGAAGAAGAGCAGGAGGGGACCCAGGUCCAGGAGUUCGCAAUACAGAGGAGUCACCUUCUAUAGGAGGACUGGACGAUGGGAAUCUCAUAUCUGGGAUUGCGGGAAACAAGUCUAUUUGGGUGGAUUUGACACUGCUCAUGCUGCGGCAAGGGCCUAUGAUCGAGCUGCUAUCAAAUUUAGGGGUGUUGAUGCUGAUAUCAAUUUCAAUCUGAGCGACUACGAGGAGGAUCUGAAACAGAUGAAGAACCUGACCAAGGAAGAAUUUGUACACAUACUUCGUCGUCAGAGCACUGGUUUCUCAAGAGGGAGCUCAAAAUACCGAGGGGUGACACUGCAUAAGUGUGGCCGAUGGGAAGCAAGAAUGGGGCAAUUCCUUGGCAAAAAGUAUAUUUAUCUUGGGCUGUUCGACAGUGAAGUAGAAGCUGCAAGGUCCUAGUGAUCAUGAAUUACACUCUGAUACUCAAUUUAUUACCCUGAAUUCUCAUCCUCAAUAGCGUUCCAUCCAACAUAUCUCCCUUUUGAUUUUCUGGAAAUCAGGGCUUAUGACAAGGCAGCUAUCAAAUGUAACGGAAGGGAGGCAGUGACCAACUUUGAGCCCAGUACAUAUGAAGGGGAAAUGAUGUCCGAGGCUAGUAAUGAAGGUAGCGAACACAAUCUUGAUCUGAACUUGGGCAUAUCCCCUUCUUUGGAUGAUGGUCCCAGGGAAAAUGAGGGGCAUCUACAAUUUCACUUGGGCCCUUAUGACAUGGACCGCAAGAGUUUAAGGCAGGAGAACCCAACAGCUCUAAUGGUGGGUGAUCUGCCUUUCAAAGGGCCAGUAACUACAGAUCAACCAACAUCCAGGAACAAUGUCUAUGCUAGUUUCUUUCCUAAUGAGGAAGGAGCUCCAGAUAAGAGAAUUGAAUUAGGUUCUUCACAGGGACUCCCCAACUGGGCAUGGCAAAUGCACGGUCAUGUCACUGCUACCCCAAUGACAAUGUUCUCUACUGCAGCAUCAUCAGGAUUCUCUUUUUCAGCUACACCUCCCUCUGCUGCCACUCUUCCAUCGAAAACUCUCAACCAAGCAGCCCAAAAUUUAUGUUUUACGCCACCUGCUACCAUGACUCCUAGUAGCUCUCACUUCUAUUAUCCAGUGAAGCCACCACGGGCUCCACCAUAACUAUUCCCUCUGCACUGGAUGGAGGUAGAAAAAUUCAUAAUCAUGAUCGAUUGAAAAUAUUGAUUCGAUACAUUUGCAUUUACUCUUUUGAUAUAAUCAUUACUUUGUUGGAUAUGUAAAGAAUACCAAUCCCAUUUGCAAGCGUUUGUCAAGCAUUUUAACAUUCUUCUAAUGUGAUUUUGUUCCCGAAGAGGGAACUUAACUUUA